GGCGUCGUACCCAAGCGGUAAGGGGCAGGUCUGCAAAACCUUUAUUCAUCGGUUCGAUUCCGAUCGACGCCU
RNAcentral lists this transfer RNA (72 nucleotides) under Spirochaetota bacterium. Its description in RNAcentral is "Spirochaetes bacterium (wastewater metagenome) tRNA-Cys". It matches the Rfam family "tRNA". From Rfam's summary of the family: Transfer RNA (tRNA) molecules are approximately 80 nucleotides in length. Their secondary structure includes four short double-helical elements and three loops (D, anti-codon, and T loops). Lineage: Bacteria; Pseudomonadati; Spirochaetota. The record is from RNAcentral.